UACGAACCGUGCGAACGUUAUUCGGAAUCACUGGGCUUAAAGCGCGUGUAGGCGGGCCGGCACGUCGGGUGCUGAAAGCCCCCGGCUCAACCGGGGAAGCGGCCUCGAUACGACCGGCCUGGAGGGGGGUAGGGGGAGCCGGAACUUCCGGUGGAGCGGUGAAAUGCGUUGAGAUCGGAAGGAACGCCCGUGGCGAAAGCGGGCUCCUGGACCCCACCUGACGCUGAGACGCGAAAGCCAGGGGAGCGAACGGG
This 254-nucleotide ribosomal RNA is filed under the name uncultured bacterium. RNAcentral's name for it is "partial 16S ribosomal RNA". It matches the Rfam family "Bacterial small subunit ribosomal RNA", at positions 524 to 776 of the family's 1533-position model. The record is from RNAcentral.